Molecule: ribosomal RNA, 900 nt
Filed under: uncultured Actinomyces sp.
Lineage: Bacteria; Bacillati; Actinomycetota; Actinomycetes; Actinomycetales; Actinomycetaceae
Description: bacterial SSU rRNA
Rfam family: Bacterial small subunit ribosomal RNA
Source: RNAcentral
AAACUCCUACGGGAGGCAGCAGUGGGGAAUCUUGCGCAAUGGGCGGAAGCCUGACGCAGCAACGCCGCGUGGGGGAUGACGGCCUUCGGGUUGUAAACCUCUUUCGACAUCGACGAAGCCUUUUGGGGUGACGGUAGGUGUAGAAGAAGCACCGGCUAACUACGUGCCAGCAGCCGCGGUAAUACGUAGGGUGCGAGCGUUGUCCGGGAUUAUUGGGCGUAAAGGGCUCGUAGGCAGUUCGUCACGUCGGGAGUGAAAACUCGGAGCUGAACUCCGAGCCUGCUUGCGAUACGGGCAGACUAGAGGUAGGCAGGGGAGAGCGGAACUCCUGGUGUAGCGGUGGAAUGCGCAGAUAUCAGGAAGAACACCGGUGGCGAAGGCGGCUCUCUGGGCCUUACCUGACGCUGAGGAGCAAAAGCGUGGGUAGCGAACAGGAUUAGAUACCCUGGUAGUCCACGCCGUAAACGUUGGGCGCUAGGUGUGGGGGACAUUCCACGUCCUCCGUGCCGCAGCUAACGCAUUAAGCGCCCCGCCUGGGGAGUACGGCCGCAAGGCUAAAACUCAAAGGAAUUGACGGGGGCCCGCACAAGCGGCGGAGCAUGCGGAUUAAUUCGAUGCAACGCGAAGAACCUUACCUGGAUUCGACAUAUAGGGAAAUCCUCCAGAGAUGGGGGGUCCGUAAGGGUCCUAUACAGGUGGUGCAUGGCUGUCGUCAGCUCGUGUCGUGAAAUGUUGGGAUAAGUCCCGCAACGAGCGCAAACCCUCGUCCCUAUGUUGCCAGCACGUUAUGGUGGGGGACUCAUAGGAGACUGCCGGGGUCACUCGGAGGAAGGUGGGGAUGACGUCAAGUCAUCAUGCCCCUUAAUGUCCAGGGCUUCAACGGCAUGCUACAAUGGCCGG